This 1365-nucleotide ribosomal RNA is filed under the name Salmonella enterica. RNAcentral's name for it is "partial 23S ribosomal RNA". It matches the Rfam family "Bacterial large subunit ribosomal RNA", at positions 1460 to 2803 of the family's 2925-position model. The record is from RNAcentral. Lineage: Bacteria; Pseudomonadati; Pseudomonadota; Gammaproteobacteria; Enterobacterales; Enterobacteriaceae.
UGCGAAGGGGGGACGGAGAAGGCUAUGUUGGCCGGGCGACGGUUGUCCCGGUUUAAGCGUGUAGGUGUGUGUUCCAGGUAAAUCCGGUUCACUUUAACACUGAGGCGUGACGACGAGGCACUACGGUGCUGAAGCAACAAAUGCCCUGCUUCCAGGAAAAGCCUCUAAGCAUCAGGUAACAUCAAAUCGUACCCCAAACCGACACAGGUGGUCAGGUAGAGAAUACCAAGGCGCUUGAGAGAACUCGGGUGAAGGAACUAGGCAAAAUGGUGCCGUAACUUCGGGAGAAGGCACGCUGACACGUAGGUGAAGUGAUUUACUCAUGGAGCUGAAGUCAGUCGAAGAUACCAGCUGGCUGCAACUGUUUAUUAAAAACACAGCACUGUGCAAACACGAAAGUGGACGUAUACGGUGUGACGCCUGCCCGGUGCCGGAAGGUUAAUUGAUGGGGUCAGCGCAAGCGAAGCUCCUGAUCGAAGCCCCGGUAAACGGCGGCCGUAACUAUAACGGUCCUAAGGUAGCGAAAUUCCUUGUCGGGUAAGUUCCGACCUGCACGAAUGGCGUAAUGAUGGCCAGGCUGUCUCCACCCGAGACUCAGUGAAAUUGAACUCGCUGUGAAGAUGCAGUGUACCCGCGGCAAGACGGAAAGACCCCGUGAACCUUUACUAUAGCUUGACACUGAACAUUGAGCCUUGAUGUGUAGGAUAGGUGGGAGGCUUUGAAGUGUGGACGCCAGUCUGCAUGGAGCCGACCUUGAAAUACCACCCUUUAAUGUUUGAUGUUCUAACGUGGACCCGUUACCCGGGUUGCGGACAGUGUCUGGUGGGUAGUUUGACUGGGGCGGUCUCCUCCUAAAGAGUAACGGAGGAGCACGAAGGUUGGCUAAUCCUGGUCGGACAUCAGGAGGUUAGUGCAAUGGCAUAAGCCAGCUUGACUGCGAGCGUGACGGCGCGAGCAGGUGCGAAAGCAGGUCAUAGUGAUCCGGUGGUUCUGAAUGGAAGGGCCAUCGCUCAACGGAUAAAAGGUACUCCGGGGAUAACAGGCUGAUACCGCCCAAGAGUUCAUAUCGACGGCGGUGUUUGGCACCUCGAUGUCGGCUCAUCACAUCCUGGGGCUGAAGUAGGUCCCAAGGGUAUGGCUGUUCGCCAUUUAAAGUGGUACGCGAGCUGGGUUUAGAACGUCGUGAGACAGUUCGGUCCCUAUCUGCCGUGGGCGCUGGAGAACUGAGGGGGGCUGCUCCUAGUACGAGAGGACCGGAGUGGACGCAUCACUGGUGUUCGGGUUGUCAUGCCAAUGGCACUGCCCGGUAGCUAAAUGCGGAAGAGAUAAGUGCUGAAAGCAUCUAAGCACGAAACUUGCCCCGAG